RNAcentral lists this ribosomal RNA (253 nucleotides) under uncultured bacterium. RNAcentral's name for it is "partial 16S ribosomal RNA". It matches the Rfam family "Bacterial small subunit ribosomal RNA", at positions 524 to 776 of the family's 1533-position model. The record is from RNAcentral.
UACGGAGGGUGCAAGCGUUAUCCGGAUUUACUGGGUUUAAAGGGUGCGUUGGUGGGUCUGUAAGUCAGUGGUGAAAUCUCCGAGCUUAACUCGGAAACUGCCAUUGAUACUAUAGGUCUUGAAUUAUCUGGAGGUAAGCGGAAUAUGUCAUGUAGUGGUGAAAUGCUUAGAUAUGACAUAGAACACCAAUUGCGAAGGCAGCUUACUACGGAUAUAUUGACACUGAGGCACGAAAGCGUGGGGAUCAAACAGG